UCAUUGUUAGUAUAGUGGUGAGUAUCCCCGCCUGUCACGCGGGAGACCUGGGUUCGAUUCCCCGAAGGGGAG
RNAcentral lists this transfer RNA (72 nucleotides) under Mesitornis unicolor (brown roatelo). It matches the Rfam family "tRNA". Rfam says of the family: Transfer RNA (tRNA) molecules are approximately 80 nucleotides in length. Their secondary structure includes four short double-helical elements and three loops (D, anti-codon, and T loops). Lineage: Eukaryota; Metazoa; Chordata; Aves; Mesitornithiformes; Mesitornithidae. The record is from Rfam by way of RNAcentral.